RNAcentral lists this ribosomal RNA (498 nucleotides) under uncultured bacterium. Its description in RNAcentral is "partial 16S ribosomal RNA". It matches the Rfam family "Bacterial small subunit ribosomal RNA", at positions 29 to 523 of the family's 1533-position model. The record is from RNAcentral.
AUUGAACGCUGGCGGCAUGCCUUACACAUGCAAGUCGAACGGUAACGCGGGGCAACCUGGCGACGAGUGGCGAACGGGUGAGUAAUGUAUCGGAACGUGCCCAGUUGUGGGGGAUAACUGCUCGAAAGAGCAGCUAAUACCGCAUACGACCUGAGGGUGAAAGCGGGGGAUCGCAAGACCUCGCGCAAUUGGAGCGGCCGAUAUCAGAUUAGGUAGUUGGUGGGGUAAAGGCCCACCAAGCCAACGAUCUGUAGCUGGUCUGAGAGGACGACCAGCCACACUGGGACUGAGACACGGCCCAGACUCCUACGGGAGGCAGCAGUGGGGAAUUUUGGACAAUGGACGCAAGUCUGAUCCAGCCAUGCCGCGAGCGGGAAGAAGGCCUUCGGGUUGUAAACCGCUUUUGUCAGGGAAGAAACGCUCUGGGUUAAUACCUCGGGGUAAUGACGGUACCUGAAGAAUAAGCUCCGGCUAACUACGUGCCAGCCGCCGCAGUAA